CCAAGCUACUAAGGGUCAACGGUGAAUGCCUUGGCGCCUACUACCGAAGAAGGACGUGGACGGCUGCGAAAAGCCACGGGGAUCUGCCUAUCUAGAGUUGAUCCGUGGAUAUCCGAAUAGGGAAACCUGGUACUCGUAACGGAGUACCACGCCGGUCUGAAUACAUAGGGCCGGCCGAGGGAACCGGGUGAAUUGAAACAUCUAAGUAACCCGAGGAAAAGAAAGCAAAAGCGACACCCCGAGUAGCGGCGAGCGAAACGGGUAGAGCCUAAACCAUUCUGGUGUCAAGCCUGACGGCAUUGCCAGGGUGGGGUCGUGGGACCGAAUAGGAGGGGCGUCAGACCUUCCACAGAGUUACAAAUCUGUCAGUUAGCAGAAGUGUUUUGGAAAAGCACGCCGCAGUGGGUAAUAGCCCCGUAAGCGAAAACUGUACAGACUCUGUUUCGUCAUCCCGAGUAACACCGGAUCCGGGAAAGCCGGUGUGAAUCUGCGAGGACCACCUCGUAAGGCUAAGUAUAGGUAGGCGACCGAUAGUGAACUAGUACCGUGAGGGAAAGGUGAAAAGUACCCCGGGAGGGGAGUGAAAUAGUACCUGAAACCGUUGAUCUACAAUCAGUCAAAGCGUCGUCUCGAGUUUACUCGAGGCCGCAAUGGCGUGCCUUUUGAAGAAUGAGCCAACGAGUUACGGUGUGUGGCAAGGUUAACCCGUGAGGGGAAGCCGGAGCGAAAGCGAGUCUGAAUAGGGCGUUCAGUCGCAUGCUGUAGACCCGAAGCUGAGUGAUCUAUCCAUGGGCAGUGUGAAGCGGAGGUAAGACUCCGUGGAGGCGCGAACCGACCUAGGUUGAAAACUGGGCGGAUGACCUGUGGAUAGGGGUGAAAGGCCAAUCAAACUCAGUGAUAGCUGGUUCUCCGCGAAAUGCAUUUAGGUGCAGCGUCGUAUGUUCAGCCAUGGAGGUAGAGCACUGGAUGGGUUAGGGGGCCUACAAGCUUACCAACCCCAGCCAAACUCCGAAUGCCAUGGCUCUAGAGUACGGCAGUGAGUCCUCGGGGGAUGAGCUUCGAUGGACGAGAGGGAAACAGCCCAGACCGCCGACUAAGGUCCCAAAGUUAAGACUAAGUGGUAAACGAAGUGGGAUUGCCCAGACAGCCAGGAUGUUGGCUUAGAAGCAGCCAUCAUUUAAAGAGUGCGUAACAGCUCACUGGUCGAGUGGUCCCGCGCGGAAAAUGUAACGGGGCUCAAGUCUUACACCGAAGUCGCGGAUUUCUACUUUUAAGUAGGAGUGGUAGCGGAGCGUCGAGUCUGCAGUGAAGCGCCGGUGAAAACCGUCGUGGAGCGGGCUCGAGCGAGAAUGUUGGCAUAAGUAGCGAGAGAGGGGUGAGAAACCCCUCCGCCGAAAGUCCAAGGGUUCCUGGGCAAGGCUAAUCCUCCCAGGGUAAGUCGGGAGCUAAGGCGAGGCCGAGAGGCGUAGUCGAUGCACAACCGGUUGAUAUUCCGGUACCACGGAUUGCGCGUAAAACGCCAACCCACGGUUGCUAAGGGGAUGCCUAGUCCUUCGGGAUUAGGAGGAACUGACCCACUGUGGUUAGGUGAGUGAUGCAGGGACGCAGGAAGGUAAAUGAACCCAGGCGAUGGUUGUCCUGGGGCAAGCGUGUAGGUCGAGGCGUAGGUAAGUCCGCUCCUCAUAAAGACUGAGACGUGAUGCCGAGCCGUAUUAGGCGAAGUCAUUAAUCCUAUGCUGCCGAGAAAAGCUGCUAGCGAGUGCAAUCAGUGCCCGUACCCCAAACCAACUCAGGUGGACAGGUAGAGAAUACUAAGGCGAUUGGGAGAACUAUGGUUAAGGAACUCGGCAAAAUACAUCCGUAACUUCGGGAUAAGGAUGACCUCAUUAGGGUUACAGGCUUUACGCCUGGAAGCUCGAAGAGGUGGCACAGACCAGAGGAAAGCGACUGUUUACUAAAAACACAGCAGCGUGCUAAGUCCUAAGACGACGUAUACGCUGUGACGCCUGCCCGGUGCUGGAAGGUUACGGGGAAAGGUUAGCCUUCGGGCGAAGCUUUGAACCUAAGCCCCAGUAAACGGCGGCCGUAACUAUAACGGUCCUAAGGUAGCGAAAUUCCUUGUCGGGUAAGUCUCAACCAUAGACCCAGCGAAAUUGAAGUACGAGUAAAGAUGCUCGUUAGCUGCAGAAGGACGGAAAGACCCCGUGGACCUUUACUACAGUUUGGUAUUGGUAUUUGUUUAGCGUUGUGUAGGAUAGGUGGGAGAUUUGGAAGCGUUGGCGCCAGCCAGCGUGGAAUCACCCUUGAAAUACCACCCUGCGUUUGACGGAUAUCUAACCUAGGCCCGUGAUCCGGGCCGGGGACCGUGCCAGAUGGGUAGUUUGACUGGGGCGGUCGCCUCCUAAAGUGUAACGGAGGCGCCCAAAGGUUCUCUCAGUCUGGUUGGCAAUCAGACGACGAGUGCAAUGGCAUAAGAGAGCUUAACUGCGAGACCUACAAGUCGAGCAGGUGCGAAAGCAGGGCAUAGUGAUCCGGCGGUUGCGUGUGGAAGCGCCGUCGCUCAACGGAUAAAAG
Molecule: ribosomal RNA, 2574 nt
Filed under: hydrothermal vent metagenome
Description: bacterial LSU rRNA
Rfam family: Bacterial large subunit ribosomal RNA
Source: RNAcentral